UACGGGGGGGGUAAGCGUUGUUCGGAAUUACUGGGCGUAAAGGGCUCGUAGGCGGCCAACUAAGUCGGACGUGAAAUCCCUCAGCUUAACUGGGGAACUGCGUCCGAUACUGGAUGGCUUGGAUUUGGGAGAGGGAUGCGGAAUUCCAGGUGUAGCGGUGAAAUGCGUAGGUAUCUGGAGGAACACCGGUGGCGAAGGCGGCAUCCUGGACCAAUAUUGACGCUGAGGAGCGAAAGCUAGGGGAGCAAACGGG
This 253-nucleotide ribosomal RNA is filed under the name uncultured bacterium. RNAcentral's name for it is "partial 16S ribosomal RNA". It matches the Rfam family "Bacterial small subunit ribosomal RNA", at positions 524 to 776 of the family's 1533-position model. The record is from RNAcentral.